UACGUAGGGCGCAAGCGUUGUCCGGAAUUAUUGGGCGUAAAGAGCUCGUAGGCGGCUUGUCACGUCGAUUGUGAAAGCCCGAGGCUUAACCUCGGGUCUGCAGUCGAUACGGGCUAGCUAGAGUGUGGUAGGGGAGAUCGGAAUUCCUGGUGUAGCGGUGAAAUGCGCAGAUAUCAGGAGGAACACCUGAGGCGAAGGCAGGUCUCUGGGCCACUACUGACGCUGAGAAGCGAAAGCAUGGGGAGCGAACAGG
This 253-nucleotide ribosomal RNA is filed under the name uncultured bacterium. RNAcentral describes it as "partial 16S ribosomal RNA". It matches the Rfam family "Bacterial small subunit ribosomal RNA", at positions 524 to 776 of the family's 1533-position model. The record is from RNAcentral.